AGACUCCCGUCUGGGAAUCAGACGACUUUCACCGGAAGGAGGAGCGCUCUUCAGGGCAAUGCACCCUGGGCAAUGGAGUCCUCAACGGGCGUAUCCCUAUGCGCUUGCGCAGCUGGAGGGGCCCCCAGCCAACCCCGCAGAGGUUUGAGUGACAUUUCUCCAUCUACAAGCCUGCCACCUCUGGUUGAAGGCCAGCUACGCUGCUUUCUAAAACUUACUGUUAAUAGAGUCAUAUGGAAGAUUGCAAAGCCUCCCACUUGUGUACUUGUCCGAGUGAGAUGGUGGGGAGAAACAUCAGAUGGAACCCUCUUUUAUCCCAGGGAUGCAUUGCAGACUGAACCAAAAGCUGUGAGAACAACUACACGUUACGCUAUUCGUUGUGGUCCAAAACAGUUUACCUCUUAUCUAACAGGUAUGUUAUUGUUUUAUCAUUGCACCUGCAGACAUAAUACAAAGCAUGUGGUUAUAUUGUCAGCAAUAAGUGUUGUUGUGUACCUAGCAUAUAUGGGCAUUCUUAAUUAUU
RNAcentral lists this small RNA (523 nucleotides) under Pongo abelii (Sumatran orangutan). RNAcentral describes it as "retained intron". The record is from RNAcentral. Lineage: Eukaryota; Metazoa; Chordata; Mammalia; Primates; Hominidae.